AUUCCAUGAUGGGGACAAUCCAGGAUGUACUCCUGCAGACUUUCCCAAGCUUCUGGGAUGGAUUCCAUCCCUGUAUGCUAAAAACUUGAAAUCUUCCUGUGCAGAGC
Panicum virgatum (switchgrass) is the source of this 107-nucleotide small nucleolar RNA. NCBI's taxonomy places the organism in Eukaryota, Viridiplantae, Streptophyta, Magnoliopsida, Poales, Poaceae. The record is from RefSeq and is a predicted model, not a curated record.